Eucalyptus grandis is the source of this 2420-nucleotide long non-coding RNA. RefSeq lists it as uncharacterized. The record is from RefSeq and is a predicted model, not a curated record. The transcript is spliced from 3 exons. NCBI's taxonomy places the organism in Eukaryota, Viridiplantae, Streptophyta, Magnoliopsida, Myrtales, Myrtaceae.
GGUUGGUUUUGUGGGUAAAAUCAACCCUACUUACUGUCUUCUCCUUCUUCCACUUUAUAAAGCUGGUUUUCUCUUGCAGAUUUGUGCUGGAGUGGUCCAUGAAAGCCUUCUGUAUGGGCCUCUCUCCUCUCUCUCUCGGUGCUACAUCAAGAGAGAGAAAGAGAGAGAGAGAGGGCGUGUGCGUGUGUGGCCGUGGGCGUGGAACUUUGUGAACAGAAGCUAGAAGAUUGAAGGGAAUGUGAGAUCUGAGGAGGUGAAAGUGAGUGCAGCUUGGAAAUUUCAAGUCCUGUCAUGCUUUUCCACAGCUUUCUUGAACUUCUUAUCUCCCAGUCUUUUGAUCUCUCUCUCUCUCUCUCUCUCUCUCUCUCUCUCUCUCUCACACACACACACACACACACACACACUCACUCACUCACUCACUCACACACAGCCACACAGACAAACACAGACACACAGACACACAGACACACACGCAAGAUUGAAAAAAACAUCAUUAGAAGCUCAAGAAAGCUGUGGGAAAACAUGGCAAAUUCAGGAUUUUUUUUUCAAGCCAUUGGGUUGCAAAGGAGAGCAAACUAUCUCAAUAUUGUUCUACACAUGUUGUGAAACUCAGCAGCUUCAGAUCUCUUUUCAUCUUUAUGGCUGCAACAUCACUUCAUUGGAUCUGAAUUCAUGAACCCUUCAAGAGAAAGUUGAAGGGCUCAGAAGAAAUGUCAGGCCACAGCACGUUUCUCUCUCUCAUUCGCCAUACGCGUUUUUAGCCGGAGAGAGAGAAAGAGAUUGAGAGCAGACGUGUCAAGUUGGAAUGGUUGUUGAGUGUUGAAUCGCGCCUGAUGCUCUCAGCAGGUGUAUAUUCUUGCUCCAAAUUCAGUGCAUCCCUGCAGAGGUAAUCCUAGUUUUCAGAUUCAAUAAAUGUUUAAAACAUAGUAAAGUUCUAUUUUUCGUUUUUAUUUCAUUUAAAGGGUUGAAAAACCGAUUAGGCCAUUUUAAUAUACGAUUUUGCUUCUGAAAAUACUGAAAUGCAUUUUCAGCUAUAUUUUCAAGCAAUCAUGGUAAACCACACUGGCCAAAGAUAUACAUUUUUAAGAAGCUGCCAUCUCUUGGCCAUUAACAAAAAGCUUUCAAUACUUAAAAGGGUCCAAAUGGUUUCAACACACCAUGAAGCUUGCAAAUAUCUCUAGUUUAAAUGCCAUUGAGAUGUUUUCCAGGCAACAUUAGCCUAGAGAACUAUAAGAUGCAAAGAUGACUUUUGGUUCUCCAGUUUUUUUUUUUUUUUUUUUUUAAAAUAGUGAACAGAUUUGCGACUGUUGUGACCAGCCUUUGUUAAUACCACAUUGUGCAUACAUGCUGUGUCAAUAUGGUUCCAUCUACCACACAUUGAAAGCUCAGAAAGUUAAUAUGUUUUGUGGCAAAUAUUCAUUUCCUAGUUGUGACUAUGAUUAUAGUGAGUAUGUAUGAUACUACAUGUACUCUUUAACAAUUUUUUAUAGGUUUUUAGUAGAAGUGGAUAGAUGGGCUCUUUGAAUAAGCUCAGUUACAUUGUAUUUAUGAUUUGAUAUGGGAGGAAAAAGUGAUCAAUUCACCAGGUCAAGGCCAUCCUUCUCUGGUCGCUAAGUCUGAAAUCAAGUCAAUAAGAAAACAAAGUUUUCAAUACGCAAUGCAUAAAUUUUUGCCAAUAUCAUACCUAAACAGAGUCCUAUGAACAAGCAUUUCAUUGUGGCAAACGAAAAUACUUGGAAAUAUUUUGUUAUUUAGAUUGGACCUUAUUGAAGAUAUUGCCUUAAUUAUUAACAGAAGAUAACAGCAUACAGAUGAUAAAGCUGAUCUCACUUAGUUCAGAAAGGCUUAAUGUUGCUCCCGUUGUCAUUGCAUCUAAUAGACCUGUAUUCUGCCUGUCAAUGAAGGGAGAUGACAAGGAGUUGAGAGUCCGAAAAAUGACCGAAAAACUAGCAGCCAGGUUUUGCAGCCGAAUAAGAUCAAAAGUAACCCAAACCAAAUAUAGGGAUAAAAUGAGAAAAGGUCAGGCUCAGAAAUAUUGUCGUCGCCGGAGAUAAAGGACACGCGACAUGUUCCUCACUUUAAUAAUUGGGGGAUGAAGUAGUGCACCCUUUUACAAGUGGGCGGGGGACCUAAAAGGUGAAGUAAGUAUCCGAUCCAUUUCAAUUUUAUCAUCACUGACGCAUCUUUUGUGCAGUUCUUCAGAAGAUACAAACAUUUCAAUGCUAGUAUAUGUACUGAACAGCCACACUACCAUUUCAGAGCUAAAUCACAAAAUCUAGUUCCGUAUGCGAUUGGGUUGAAAAGGAAGCAUAUGUAAUCUAAUUCAUAACCUAGACUUUUCUCCAUGCAAACUUUUUGUUACAAGAAAAAGAAUUGAGGGAGCGCUACGCUUUACCAGACAUGCCUACAAGCGUUUAGUA